This 450-nucleotide ribosomal RNA is filed under the name uncultured organism. RNAcentral's name for it is "partial 16S ribosomal RNA". It matches the Rfam family "Bacterial small subunit ribosomal RNA", at positions 333 to 799 of the family's 1533-position model. The record is from RNAcentral.
ACACUCCUGCGGGAGGCAGCAGUGGGGAAUAUUGGACAAUGGGCGCAAGCCUGAUCCAGCCAUGCCGCGUGAGUGAUGAAGGCCCUAGGGUUGUAAAGCUCUUUCACCGGUGAAGAUAAUGACGGUAACCGGAGAAGAAGCCCCGGCUAACUUCGUGCCAGCAGCCGCGGUAAUACGAAGGGGGCUAGCGUUGUUCGGAUUUACUGGGCGUAAAGCGCACGUAGGCGGACUAUUAAGUCAGGGGUGAAAUCCCGGGGCUCAACCUCGGAACUGCCUUUGAUACUGGUUGUCUUGAGUUCGAGAGAGGUGAGUGGAAUUCCGGGUGUAGAGGUGAAAUUCGUAGAUAUUCGGAGGAACACCAGUGGCGAAGGCGGCUCACUGGCUCGAUACUGACGCUGAGGUGCGAAAGCGUGGGUAGCAAACAGGAUUAGAAACCCCAGUAGUCCCAUG